RNAcentral lists this ribosomal RNA (557 nucleotides) under uncultured fungus. RNAcentral's name for it is "SSU rRNA". It matches the Rfam family "Eukaryotic small subunit ribosomal RNA", at positions 194 to 755 of the family's 1831-position model. Lineage: Eukaryota; Fungi. The record is from RNAcentral.
GGAAGGGGUGUAUUUAUUAGAUAAAAAACCAACGCCCUUCGGGGCUUCUUGGUGAUUCAUGAUAACUUCACGGAUCGCAUGGCCUUGCGCCGGCGACGGUUCAUUCAAAUUUCUGCCCUAUCAACUUUCGAUGGUAAGGUAUUGGCUUACCAUGGUUUCAACGGGUAACGGGGAAUUAGGGUUCUAUUCCGGAGAGGGAGCCUGAGAAACGGCUACCACAUCCAAGGAAGGCAGCAGGCGCGCAAAUUACCCAAUCCCGACACGGGGAGGUAGUGACAAUAAAUACUGAUACAGGGCUCUUUUGGGUCUUGUAAUUGGAAUGAGUACAAUUUAAACCUCUUAACGAGGAACAAUUGGAGGGCAAGUCUGGUGCCAGCAGCCGCGGUAAUUCCAGCUCCAAUAGCGUAUAUUAAAGUUGUUGCAGUUAAAAAGCUCGUAGUUGAAACUUGGGCCUGGCUGGCAGGUCCGCCUCACCGCGUGUACUUGUCCGGCCGGGCCUUUCCUUCUGGAGAACCUCAUGCCCUUCACUGGGUGUGUUGGGGAACCAGGACUUUUAC